Molecule: ribosomal RNA, 462 nt
Filed under: Silene vulgaris (bladder campion)
Lineage: Eukaryota; Viridiplantae; Streptophyta; Magnoliopsida; Caryophyllales; Caryophyllaceae
Description: eukaryotic LSU rRNA
Rfam family: 5.8S ribosomal RNA (bases 80-234)
Source: RNAcentral
GAAUACAAACUUAAUGUGUGUGCUCUCCCUUUGCCCGGUUAGCCGGGCGUGGGAGCGGUGCCAUGUCUUAACAAUAAACGACUCUCGGCAACGGAUAUCUCGGCUCUCGCAUCGAUGAAGAACGUAGCGAAAUGCGAUACUUGGUGUGAAUUGCAGAAUCCCGUGAACCAUCGAGUUUUUGAACGCAAGUUGCGCCCGAAGCCUUUGGCUGAGGGCACGUCUGCCUGGGCGUCACGCAUCGCGUCUCCCCCAAAUCCACCAAGAGUGGACGAGGGGAAGGAGGAUGGUCUCCCGUGACUCACCGGUCGCGGCUGGCCUAAAAUUGGAGCCCUCGGCAUGGGGAUGCCGCGGCGAUAGGUGGUGAACAAGGCCUCGGCCAAGCAAGCAACCCGUCGUGCGUCGCCGUGCCAACGUGAGCUCGAAGGACCCUUGACGUUGCCUAACGGCAACUAAACCGUUGCG